RNAcentral lists this ribosomal RNA (325 nucleotides) under uncultured soil bacterium. RNAcentral's name for it is "bacterial SSU rRNA". It matches the Rfam family "Bacterial small subunit ribosomal RNA", at positions 26 to 353 of the family's 1533-position model. The record is from RNAcentral.
AGAUUGAACGCUGGCGGCAGGCCUAACACAUGCAAGUCGAGCGGUAGAGAGGUGCUUGCAUCUCUUGAGAGCGGCGGACGGGUGAGUAAUGCCUAGGAAUCUGCCUAGUGGUGGGGGAUAACGUUCGGAAACGGACGCUAAUACCGCAUACGUCCUACGGGAGAAAGCGGGGGACCUUCGGGCCUCGCGCCAUUAGAUGAGCCUAGGUCGGAUUAGCUAGUUGGUGAGGUAAUGGCUCACCAAGGCGACGAUCCGUAACUGGUCUGAGAGGAUGAUCAGUCACACUGGAACUGAGACACGGUCCAGACUCCGUACGGGNGCAGCA